Molecule: microRNA, 23 nt
Filed under: Eptatretus burgeri (inshore hagfish)
Lineage: Eukaryota; Metazoa; Chordata; Myxini; Myxiniformes; Myxinidae
Description: Ebu-Mir-34-P2a_5p (mature (guide))
Source: RNAcentral
UGGCAGUGUAGUUAGCUGGUUGC